GGGGGGAGGCUGGAUCCUUGGCCGUGUCCCCAGCGUCCUGUGCUCCCAGCCUGCCCUGUUGGAUUUGCGCUUCUGGCCGCGCAGCCCCUU
This 90-nucleotide microRNA precursor is filed under the name Canis lupus familiaris (dog). RNAcentral describes it as "mir-8799 microRNA precursor family". It matches the Rfam family "mir-8799 microRNA precursor family". RNAcentral also lists the same sequence under 1 other name. Lineage: Eukaryota; Metazoa; Chordata; Mammalia; Carnivora; Canidae. The record is from Rfam by way of RNAcentral.